Molecule: ribosomal RNA, 427 nt
Filed under: uncultured beta proteobacterium
Lineage: Bacteria; Pseudomonadati; Pseudomonadota; Betaproteobacteria
Description: bacterial SSU rRNA
Rfam family: Bacterial small subunit ribosomal RNA
Source: RNAcentral
UAGGGAAUUUUGGACAAUGGGCGAAAGCCUGAUCCAGCCAUGCCGCGUGAGUGAAGAAGGCCUUCGGGUUGUAAAGCUCUUUUAGUCGGAAAGAAAGAGUUGCAAUGAAUAAUUGUGAUUUAUGACGGUACCGACAGAAAAAGCACCGGCUAACUACGUGCCAGCAGCCGCGGUAAUACGUAGGGUGCGAGCGUUAAUCGGAAUUACUGGGCGUAAAGGGUGCGCAGGCGGUCUUGCAAGUCAGAUGUGAAAGCCCCGGGCUUAACCUGGGAAUUGCGUUUGAAACUACAAGACUAGAGUGCAGCAGAGGGGAGUGGAAUUCCAUGUGUAGCAGUGAAAUGCGUAGAGAUGUGGAAGAACACCGAUGGCGAAGGCAGCUCCCUGGGUUGACACUGACGCUCAUGCACGAAAGCGUGGGGAGCAAACA